RNAcentral lists this ribosomal RNA (1610 nucleotides) under Escherichia coli. RNAcentral's name for it is "partial 23S ribosomal RNA". It matches the Rfam family "Bacterial large subunit ribosomal RNA", at positions 612 to 2207 of the family's 2925-position model. Lineage: Bacteria; Pseudomonadati; Pseudomonadota; Gammaproteobacteria; Enterobacterales; Enterobacteriaceae. The record is from RNAcentral.
AUAAUGGGUCAGCGACUUAUAUUCUGUAGCAAGGUUAACCGAAUAGGGGAGCCGAAGGGAAACCGAGUCUUAACUGGGCGUUAAGUUGCAGGGUAUAGACCCGAAACCCGGUGAUCUAGCCAUGGGCAGGUUGAAGGUUGGGUAACACUAACUGGAGGACCGAACCGACUAAUGUUGAAAAAUUAGCGGAUGACUUGUGGCUGGGGGUGAAAGGCCAAUCAAACCGGGAGAUAGCUGGUUCUCCCCGAAAGCUAUUUAGGUAGCGCCUCGUGAAUUCAUCUCCGGGGGUAGAGCACUGUUUCGGCAAGGGGGUCAUCCCGACUUACCAACCCGAUGCAAACUGCGAAUACCGGAGAAUGUUAUCACGGGAGACACACGGCGGGUGCUAACGUCCGUCGUGAAGAGGGAAACAACCCAGACCGCCAGCUAAGGUCCCAAAGUCAUGGUUAAGUGGGAAACGAUGUGGGAAGGCCCAGACAGCCAGGAUGUUGGCUUAGAAGCAGCCAUCAUUUAAAGAAAGCGUAAUAGCUCACUGGUCGAGUCGGCCUGCGCGGAAGAUGUAACGGGGCUAAACCAUGCACCGAAGCUGCGGCAGCGACGCUGAUGCGUUGUUGGGUAGGGGAGCGUUCUGUAAGCCUGCGAAGGUGUGCUGUGAGGCAUGCUGGAGGUAUCAGAAGUGCGAAUGCUGACAUAAGUAACGAUAAAGCGGGUGAAAAGCCCGCUCGCCGGAAGACCAAGGGUUCCUGUCCAACGUUAAUCGGGGCAGGGUGAGUCGACCCCUAAGGCGAGGCCGAAAGGCGUAGUCGAUGGGAAACAGGUUAAUAUUCCUGUACUUGGUGUUACUGCGAAGGGGGGACGGAGAAGGCUAUGUUGGCCGGGCGACGGUUGUCCCGGUUUAAGCGUGUAGGCUGGUUUUCCAGGCAAAUCCGGAAAAUCAAGGCUGAGGCGUGAUGACGAGGCACUACGGUGCUGAAGCAACAAAUGCCCUGCUUCCAGGAAAAGCCUCUAAGCAUCAGGUAACAUCAAAUCGUACCCCAAACCGACACAGGUGGUCAGGUAGAGAAUACCAAGGCGCUUGAGAGAACUCGGGUGAAGGAACUAGGCAAAAUGGUGCCGUAACUUCGGGAGAAGGCACGCUGAUAUGUAGGUGAAGUCCCUCGCGGAUGGAGCAGAAAUCAGUCGAAGAUACCAGCUGGCUGCAACUGUUUAUUAAAAACACAGCACUGUGCAAACACGAAAGUGGACGUAUACGGUGUGACGCCUGCCCGGUGCCGGAAGGUUAAUUGAUGGGGUUAGCGCAAGCGAAGCUCUUGAUCGAAGCCCCGGUAAACGGCGGCCGUAACUAUAACGGUCCUAAGGUAGCGAAAUUCCUUGUCGGGUAAGUUCCGACCUGCACGAAUGGCGUAAUGAUGGCCAGGCUGUCUCCACCCGAGACUCAGUGAAAUUGAACUCGCUGUGAAGAUGCAGUGUACCCGCGGCAAGACGGAAAGACCCCGUGAACCUUUACUAUAGCUUGACACUGAACAUUGAGCCUUGAUGUGUAGGAUAGGUGGGAGGCUUUGAAGUGUGGACGCCAGUCUGCAUGGAGCCGACCUUGAAAUACCACCCUU